Molecule: long non-coding RNA, 6640 nt
Filed under: Podarcis lilfordi (Lilford's wall lizard)
Lineage: Eukaryota; Metazoa; Chordata; Lepidosauria; Squamata; Lacertidae
Source: RNAcentral
AGACAGGUACUGCCAUUUGGAAAGCAGGGAAAGGAUCAUCUGCCUGGCCUUAAAAUGAAUAUAUAAUGUUUCUAAACAAACUGGAAGGAUGUUUUCUGAGAUCUGGAGACAUAGUGGGUGGACCUGUCAAACUGCAAGACUGAAUUAUUGUAUUAUGUCUCUGAUUACAGGAUGCAUUCUGGUACAUUUGAGAAUUCACGAAAAGGAGAAGCAUGCUGCUGUAUACCUUUACCUGAGAGUAAGUUCCAUGGAACUCAACAGGACAUUUUCUAGUGGAGCUUUCUGCAAUAUAGGAUUACACUGCAAGGAUCAGUACCCAACACACUGUCUAUGAUGUGCUUUCCCUAGCAGAAGUGAUGGUGUAUACACACACCCCGUCAUGAACAUAAAAUAAUGUGCAAUAAAACGCAUGUACUAUUUAUGUUCAUUCUCAAGAUCCCCUCCCCGCCCUUUUUAUUUGAGGUAGGAAAACCCACACAAAAUAGCCCUCUGCACUUCAGUUCAACAUAACAGGCAUUUCAGGGAGUUGGACUAGAUGCCUCUUGGAGUCAGAAUCUACAGUUCUGUGAUUCUAUGAUCCGUUAAUGGACUGUGUCGCUGGAACACCUGUAGUGCUUUUCAAUUCCAUUGUUGUGGGGCAAACAUGGCAUCUUUUCAUCCUUAUUUACAAGGACUAAUGAGAUUAGAUAGUAUUGAUCUAAUUCAGGCACGUCCAACUCCCAAGAGACUGCGAUCUACUCACAGUAUAAAAAGACCAGCUUUGAUCUACCCAUUGUCAUUGCCUGGAGUUGUUGAACUUUUUUUAGGGGAGGGUUGGCCAAAGGCCGUCACUCCAUACCGCAAUCUGCCUGGAAAACCCCCACGAUCUACCGGUAGGUUGCGAUCUACUUGUUGGACAUGCCUGAUCUACUUGAAUAAGGGCUACAUUCUUCUGAAGUCGUUCUCUCCAUGAGAAGUUAGGGAGGCAUCAGUUUCUUCUAGACUAGAUUCUUUUCCUUUCCUCAGCUGAACUGAGGGCUCAUUCAUGCACCCAUUUCCAGUGCAGGAAGCGGCAUGAGUUGUGCCUUAAAACUUUUCACCAGGACUUAUCACUCGAGUAAAUGGUCAGGAGUUACAUGUAUUCCCGUAGAGUGUAGACAGUUAAGGUCAGAUGCUCUACAUAAUGUCAUCCUUCGUCUCAGAAAGUAGCUAGGCACUUGGGAAGAUGCAGACUUGAUCCCGGUAUGUCCCACUUUUCCUUAAAGGUAAAGGGACCCCUGACCAUUAGGUCCAGUCGUGGCCGACUCUGGGGUUGCGGUGUUCAUCUCGCUUUAUUGGCCGAGGAAGCCGGCGUACAGCAUCCGGGUCAUGUGGCCAGCAUGACUAACCCGCUUCUGGCGAACCAGAGCAGUGCAUGGAAACACCGUUUACCUUCCCGCCGGAGUGGUUCCUAUUUAUCUACUUGCACUUUGACGUGCUUUCAAACUGCUAGGUUGGCAGGAGCAGGGACCCAGGACCGGGAGCUCACCCCGUCACGGGGAUUCGAACUGCCGACCUUCUGAUCGGCAAGUCCUAGGCUCUAUGGUUUAACCCACAGCUCCACCCGCGUCCCCACUUAUCCUUAGGACAUCUCUAUUUUCACCAGGGAAAUGUUGGGGGGUAUUGAAGAUGUGCAGCCUGAUCUUACACUUUCCUCAGAAAGUUUCCUCAGAAGUAAGUCCUACUGUGUUCAGUGGGGUCUAUUUUUAGGUGAUUGCAGACUAGGAUAAUAUUCCUUGAAUUAACUAAGGACUGUUCCAUAAACAUAUCUUUCAGCCAGUGGACCAUGUUGAUAUAGCCCGCACACAAAUACUGGAGGCAUGGAGCUACUGCCAAGUUCAAAACAUGCAAAGCGUAUGUGGAAUCACCACAGAGUAGAUCCCAGAGGGAUGGAUCCUGGAGAAAGCAAAAACAACAAAAACAGCAAAACAACACCACAACUACUUGAAAUUACUAUUUGGAGUUUCUGUUGUAACCCUCAGUGGAGGCGUUUGGUACACAAUCCUGUGUGAAAAUAGGUAUGUGAACACAGAAACAUUAGCUAAAGUGGUACUUCAGGUUAAGAACAGUUUCAGGUUAAGAACAGACCUCCGGAAUGAAUUAAGUUCUUAACCUGAGGUACCACUGUACUCAACUGAGCCCCAAUAAGCUGGUUGGAUGAGUCUUUUGAUGUACAGUGGUACCUCGGGUUACAAACGCCUCAGGUUACAAACACUUUGGGUUACAAACUCCGCUAACCCAGAAGUAGUACCUCGGGUUGAGAACUUUGCCCCAGGAUGAGAAUGGAAAUCAUGUGCAGGCGGCGCAGUGGCAGCAGGAGGCCCCAUUAGCCUCAGGUUAAGAACAGUUUCAGGUUAAGAACGAACCUCCGGAACGAAUUAAGUUCAUAACCCGAGGUACCACUGUAUCUUCAUCCAAAGGCUGGUUCAAGAGCAGCUUUGAUGCUUGGAACUUGAUUUUGUUUGCAGACCAAAUAUGAGAACUCCAGUUCCAAGGAGAUGAAUAGCACAGGGAUGUUUGUCUUGCUAAGAAAAGAAAACCUUUUCAGUCAAUUACUAGACAUCCUUGUGUUCUAUCUCCGUUUUAAGCCAGCAUUUCUCUCUUUGAUCCUUUGCGCCUGUAACAUAUAUUCUUUAUAGGAAUCAUGCUUCUUCUUUAAUGCCAUCAUUUUUGCUUGUAAGAAAUAUUUUGUAAUUACGGUCUCUCAAAACACACCAGCAUAGAGCGGAGAGAGGAAACAUUCCCAAUUCUAUCAGCGCUGGUGUUAAUUAUUUUAGGCAGGCUGUCAUUUAUGUUUUCUAAAGUGGAUUUUGUUCGUGCAGUCAGGAACAUUGCUUAGCACAGAAUUAAUUAAUCAUUAUAAAUACAAAACCUGCAGUAUCAGCUCCUGCAUUCAGGAAGGUUUCAAGAGGCAAGGUUGAAGGAGUCAAUAGGCUGCUGUGGGGAAUCAUUUUUUUCUCCAUCAGAUACAAGGACAAUUAAAUUAUGCACUUAAUCUUUACAGGGACACUUAUUUCAAGUAUCAUUGGCAAAAAAAAGGAAUAUAUUGGAAAAGGAUGCCUUGCUUGAAAUGAAUGUUUCUAACAACACAUUGCCAUAAAGAAAAAUGUGACAUUAAACAUGAGUGGUAGUGGAAAUAUCAGGAAAAUUAGACUAGAAUUCUAGCUAAAGCAAGUUAAGAUUCACUCAAACGCCCCACAGUAGCAUUGAGCAGAAAUCACUAACCAUUUCAGUCCCAGGCCCUGCCUUUUGAUCCCGGUUUGUAAGCUGAGAUCCAAGUUGCUUCCAAAUGUAGCCCUUUGGGCUGGAAUUACAAUCCUUUGUUCACACUCCCUCCCUUUCUUUUACUAGUCAUUCAGAUGACAUUGUUGUCUUAUGAGUGAUCAUUAGGUUUUUGCUGGUAAAAUGCAUUUGUAGCACCAGCCUGUCUAGUGUAGACAUACAAAGAGCCAUUGACCUUUACCUAAGGACACCAGUGCCUUUAAACAAACACUUCCCAUUGGCAAAUUGGGCCAGUUGCUAUUGCUUCCUGAUGGGCAUGGUUUGGGAAGCAAGCAUAGUGAACCUAUUAACAGCCAGAAUUGUCUAUCUUACAUACCCCACUGUUUGUUUCUGACUUCUUUGAUGGAGGACCAGGUUUGAUGAGGCCCUAAGCUACUGAAGGUGAUGGGGCCCUUUAUAUGUCCAGCUGUCCUUUGUUAAAAACAAAUUGUCGCUGUUUUUUGUGUUAAAUAUAUGCUAUAUGGUAAUUUAUGGACCUAAUAGGUAUCUAAAGCCAUUUGCACAUAACAAAAUGUUUAUUUUAUCAAAGUAAUUGUUGAACUGAAAUACAAUUAAGAAGAAGUAUCGCCAAAGAAUUGAUGCUUUUGAAUUAUGGUGCUGGAGGAGACUCUUGAGAGUCUCAUGGACUGCAGGAAGAUCAAACCUCUCCAUUCUGAAGGAAAUCAGCCCUGAGUGCUCACUGGAAGGACAGAUCCUGAAGCUGAGACUCCAGUACUUUGGCCACCUCAUGAGAAGAGAAGACUCCCUGGAAAAGACCCUGAUGUUGGGAAAGAUGGAGGGCACAAGGAGAAGGGGACGACAGAGGACGAGAUGGUUGGAUAGUGUUCGCGAAGCUACCAGCAUGAGUUUGACUAAACUGCGGGAGGCAGUGGAAGACAGGAGUGGCUGGCGUGCUCUGGUCCAUGGGGUCACAAAGAGUCGGACACGACUAAACGACUAAACAACAACAACAAAAUAGUAAUAGUUUGUUUUUUAUCUUAUAUUUUAAAAAUGUACAUCCAGGUUUUUUCCUUUAAUUUUUUUGGGGGGGCCCAAGAGAGUGGGGUGCUAAGCUAUAGCUUGUUUAGCUUAUAUGUACAUCCGGCACUGUGGGGGACUCUAAUUACGGAUUUCCUCUUUUUUAUUUUAAGAGUGAACUAGCACUAUUUUGCUAUAAAAAGAAAACAAAGGAGAGGAAACCAGUAACUUAGGUAACCCACCUGCAGAAACAGACAUCGGGACAAUUAGUGAAGGGCUUUGCACUAUGGGCUAUUCACCGCAGUCUCAGGUGUGCUCAUCAGGAAGCAAUAAAAUGGGCUCAACCUAAAAGGGGGAAGCUUUCAAAUAACAUUGCUCAACGUCUUUGCUGAUCACAAGUAAGUAAACUUUACACAGUGGUUUGGGCCAUAGUAAAGGGCACUGUUAGGGGACAUGGGUGGUGCUGUGGUCUAAACCACAGAAGAAGGAGGAGGAGGAGGAGGAGGAGGAGUUUGGAUUUGAUACCCCACUUUAUCACUACCCUAAGGAGUCUCAAAGCGGCUAACCAUCUCCUUUCCCUUCCUCCCCCACAACAAACACUCUCUGAGGUGAGUUGGGCUGAGAGACUUCAAAGAAGUGUGACUAGCCCAAGGUCACCCAGCAGCUGCAUGUGGACGAGCGGAGACAUGAACCCGGUUCACCAGAUUACAAGAUUACCGGUCUUAACCACUACACCACACUGGCUCACACAUAGCCUAGGGCUUGCCGAUCAGAAGGUUGGCGGUUCGAAUCCCCGUGACGGGGUAAGCUCCCGUUGUUCGGCCCCAGCUUCUGCCCACCUAGCAGUUUGAAAGCAUGUCAAAGUGCACGUAGAUAAAUAGGUACCGCUCUGGCAGGAAAGUUCACCAGAAGCUUAGUCAUGCUGGCCACAUGACCCGGAAGCUGUCUGUGGACAAACGCCAGCUUCCUUGGCCUAUAGAGUGAGAUGAGCGUGCAACCCCAGAGUCGCCCGCAACUGGAUCUAACGGUCACGGGUACCUCUACCUUUUAAAGGGCACUGUUAAUUAGUUUACUGCUAUAGUUGCACUCAUGCUGAAUCACUAUUUUAAUUCCACUUCUAGCUAAUUAUAGAGAAGCAAUGCCUCAGGAGCUCUAAAGGAGUAGUGUGGAUUCAACCCCAGUUACAUAGCCAUAGUGCCUCUGUUUUUCUUCCUCCUCUGUCUUCUUGGGGUAUGUCUCUAAACGGCAGACUUACUGAUUCAAAUAAAUCACAAGGCAACCUUUGCAGUUGUUGUUCUACGGAGUAGUAAUGGCAGAGGUCAUUAAAAGAGAUUUCUUAGCAUCGGACCAAAACAAAUUCUGAUAAUACUUUUGCAGCAUGGGCCAGGGCAGAUACACCCUGGUGCAAAUUAAUUGAAACAAAGCCUGUUUUCUAUCUUACUCAAAAUCCUGUUCUCAAAACACCCACAAAAGAAGGUGUUUUGGGGAUGCCAACCAAAAUUUAGGAUUCUAAAGAGGAGCACAAAACAUUUCUUGGAAAAAUGUAUCAUUUAUAUUUGAAAAAGGCUUAUGAAGAUUUGCAAUUGCUUAUGGGUGAUUGCAUGCAACUAUUUACCAUGCAUGCACUUUUACAAAUCUUUAAAUAUUUGUUUGCAUUGUCCUGGCGAAGUGGUGAGAAUUUUACUAUUGCCUUGUUUUCCCAAUAAAUUAAAUGCUGUUGCGUGGUAAAGACCCAGCCAGAUGGGUUGGCUACAAAUAAUAAAUUAUUAUUAUUAUUAUUAUAAAGCUUUCAUCACUACUACAGAGGUGUGAACUGUCUCCUCUGAAAAGCAUUUCUCAUUUAUGAAGGAAUCAACCUAUACAUUUCACCUUAAGAAAAACGUCCUGAUUUGGCUAUAUUUGUUGCACAAACUCUCUCUUUACUGGGUGGAUGAGUCACGCAGUAAAUUGUAUUAUUUGAAAACUUUUUAUUUCCUUAUGAGCAAUACCUACAGUCUGUAGUGUUAGAGAAGAACAAAGAAUUCCUUAAACAGUUCCACAAGAUAUCUUGCAGCAGCUGCAUAGGGAUACAUGGAAGCACUUUGAGAAAUUUCACUUUUUGGUUCCCUCAAAACUCCUCAGAUGUUCCUGCUGAGCAGGAAUUACUCUCAACAACCUGAAUUAAUAUUUUCUUGAAUCCCCAAGCCUCCUUGUGGAGAACCCUCUGGCCUUCCACACUUUUGGCCUCCGUUGAAAUUAAUGUUGUGUUUUUCUCAUGCAGGAACCUCCCAAAUUGCUUAGAAAUGUAAUGUCUGCAUAUGGCCCUCUCCAAUUUGAUGAUUGUCUUGGACCACACUGCAGAGGGAAGGUGCGGUUCCUCGCUACGUUUUGAGUGUCGAAAGGU